UCUGGUGAUUCAAGGCAGUGGCCCCACCCGUUCCCAUUCCGAACACGGUCGUGAAACGCUGUACUGCUGAUGAUACUCACAAGGGAAAGUAGGCAAUCGCCAGAA
This 105-nucleotide ribosomal RNA is filed under the name Candidatus Giovannonibacteria bacterium RIFCSPLOWO2_01_FULL_46_13. Lineage: Bacteria; Candidatus Giovannoniibacteriota. The record is from RNAcentral.